RNAcentral lists this ribosomal RNA (407 nucleotides) under Clostridioides difficile. RNAcentral describes it as "bacterial LSU rRNA". It matches the Rfam family "Bacterial large subunit ribosomal RNA", at positions 2185 to 2590 of the family's 2925-position model. The record is from RNAcentral. Lineage: Bacteria; Bacillati; Bacillota; Clostridia; Peptostreptococcales; Peptostreptococcaceae.
GCCAUCCUUGGGAUACCACCCUUGUAGUACUGGGACUCUAACCAUAGGCCAUGAAUCUGGUCUUGGGACACUGUCAGGUGGGCAGUUUGACUGGGGCGGUCGCCUCCCAAAAGGUAACGGAGGCGCUCAAAGGUUCUCUCAGUACGGCCGGAAAUCGUACGUAGAGUGUAAAGGCAAAAGAGAGCUUGAGUGCAAGCCAUACAGGUCGAGCAAGGAUGAAAAUCGGACUUAGUGAUCCGGUGGGUCUGCGUGGGAGGGCCAUCGCCCCACGGACAAAAGCUACCCUGGGGAUCACAGGCGUCUCUCCCCCACGAGUCCACAGCGACGGGGAGGUUUGGCACCUCGAUGUCGGCCCGUCACCCCCUGGGGCUGAAGUAGGUCCCAAGGGUUGGGCUGUUCGCCCAUUA